UGGUAUCCUUGAUUUAAAUUAUCUAAACUAAAGUAGUAACCAGUUAUUAUCUUGAAACUUAAAGGAUUUGGCGGUGUCUUAGUCUAGUUAGAGGAACCUGUUCUGUGAUCGAUGCGCCACGAAGUAUCUCACUUCAUCUUGUAAGGACUACAACAGCUUGUAUACCGCCAUUAUCAGGCAAUCUCAAUAGAGACGUGUUUAAAUAAAUAAAAAAUUUAGAAAAUUAGGUCAAGGUGCAGCUUAUGAUGAAGGUUGAAAUGGGUUACAAUUUAACAUGGGAAAACGGAUUAGGAUUUGAAAUAAUUUUAUGAAGGUGGAUUUGAAAGUAAGGUUUGUUUAAUAUGCAAACCUGAUUAUAAGCUCUAAGGCGCGUA
This 374-nucleotide ribosomal RNA is filed under the name Lysmata grabhami (cleaner shrimp). RNAcentral describes it as "partial 12S ribosomal RNA". Lineage: Eukaryota; Metazoa; Arthropoda; Malacostraca; Decapoda; Hippolytidae. The record is from RNAcentral.